AAUGAACGCUGGCGGCAUGCCUAACACAUGCAAGUCGAACGGCAGCACAGUGAGCACUGGCUCUUGCGGGUGUCGAGUGUCGGAUGGUUGACGAAUACAUCGAAUUCUACUUUUUCGUGGGUGAUAACGUAGGAAAAUGUCUGCUAAUACCGCAUAUAUCCUACGGGUGAAAGCAGGCGAUCUUCGGACUUUUUGCUAUGGAAUGAGCCGAUGUCGGAUUAGCUAGUUGGCGGGGUAAAGGCCCGCCAAGGCGACGAUCCGUAGCUGGUCUGAGAGGAUGAUUCGACACAUUGGAACUGAGAAACGGUCCAGACUCCUACGGUAGGACGCAGUGGGGAAUCUUGCACAAUGGGCGAAAGCCUGAUCCAGCAAUACCGCGUGAGUGAAGAAGGCCUUAGGGUUGUAAAGCGCUGUUGUUGGGAAAGAAAAGAAGCAGGUUAAUCCCCGGUUGUUCUGACGGUACCCAAAGAAUAAGCACCGGCUAACUUCGUG
RNAcentral lists this ribosomal RNA (492 nucleotides) under uncultured bacterium. RNAcentral's name for it is "partial 16S ribosomal RNA". It matches the Rfam family "Bacterial small subunit ribosomal RNA", at positions 29 to 507 of the family's 1533-position model. The record is from RNAcentral.